Molecule: ribosomal RNA, 459 nt
Filed under: uncultured bacterium
Lineage: Bacteria
Description: partial 16S ribosomal RNA
Rfam family: Bacterial small subunit ribosomal RNA
Source: RNAcentral
CCUACGGGUGGCAGCAGUGAGGAAUAUUGGUCAAUGGCCGGAAGGCUGAACCAGCCAAGCCGCGUGAAGGACGAAGGUGCCAAGAAUUGUAAACUUCUUUUGUCAAGGGAAAAAAUCAGGCUCGAGAGCCUGACCGAGGGUACUUGAAGAAAAAGCAUCGGCUAACUACGGGCAAGCAGCAGCGGUAAUACGGAGGAGGCGAGCGUUAUCCGGAUGUAUUGGGUUUAAAGGGUGCGUUGGCGGACGGUUAAGUCAGCGUUAAAAGCCCGGGGCUCAACCCCGGCGAGCCGUUGAAACUGGCUGUCUGGAGAUGUCGAGAGGUAUGCGGAAUUCGCAGUGUAGCGGUGAAAUGCUUAGAUAUUGCGCAGAACUCCGAUUGCGAAGGCAGCAUACCGGCUGCGAUCUGACGCUGAGGCACGAAAGCGUGGGUAUCGAACAGGAUUAGAUACCCGGGUAGUC